This 585-nucleotide ribosomal RNA is filed under the name uncultured bacterium. Its description in RNAcentral is "bacterial SSU rRNA". It matches the Rfam family "Bacterial small subunit ribosomal RNA", at positions 153 to 714 of the family's 1533-position model. The record is from RNAcentral.
GAAACCCGGGCUAAUACCGCAUAAUGUCUUAUUUUCACAUGGGAACGAGACCAAAGGGGGCCUCUGCUUGCAAGCUCUCGCCUGAUGAGGGGGUCGCGUCGUAUCAGCUUGUUGGUGAGGUAACGGCUCACCAAGGCUAUGACGCGUAGCGGGUCUGAGAGGACGAUCCGUCACAUUGGGACUGAGAUACGGCCCAGACUCCUACGGGAGGCAGCAGUAGGGAAUAUUGCGCAAUGGUCGAAAGACUGACGCAGCGACGCCGCGUGUGGGAGGAAGCCUUUCGGGGUGUAAACCACUGUCAGGAGGGAAGAAUCCCGAGAGUUCGAAUAGGGCUCUCGAUUGACGGUACCUCCAAAGGAAGCGCCGGCUAACUCCGUGCCAGCAGCCGCGGUAAGACGGAGGGCGCAAGCGUUGUUCGGAAUUACUGGGCGUAAAGCGCACGCAGGCGGUUUGCUCAGUCCUUUGUGAAAGCCCGGGGCUCAACCCCGGAAUUGCAUGGGAUACUGGCAGACUGGAGACAGGUAGAGGCUAGCGGAAUUCCUGGUGUAGCGGUGGAAUGCGUAGAUAUCAGGAAGAACACCUGUG